AUUGAACGCUGGCGGCAGGCCUAACACAUGCAAGUCGAACGGUAGCACAGAGAGCUUGCUCUCGGGUGACGAGUGGCGGACGGGUGAGUAACGUCUGGGAAACUGCCCGAUGGAGGGGGAUAACUACUGGAAACGGUAGCUAAUACCGCAUAACGUCGCAAGACCAAAGUGGGGGACCUUCGGGCCUCACACCAUCGGAUGUGCCCAGAUGGGAUUAGCUAGUAGGUGGGGUAAUGGCUCACCUAGGCGACGAUCCCUAGCUGGUCUGAGAGGAUGAACGGCCACACUGGAACUGAGACACGGUCCAGACUCCUACGGGAGGCAGCAGUGGGGAAUAUUGCACAAUGGGCGCAAGCCUGAUGCAGCCAUGCCGCGUGUAUGAAGAAGGCCUUCGGGUUGUAAAGUACUUUCAGCGGGGAGGAAGGCGGUGAAGUUAAUAACUUCACCGAUUGACGUUACCCGCAGAAGAAGCACCGGCUAACUCCGUGCCAGCAGCCGCCGUAA
RNAcentral lists this ribosomal RNA (504 nucleotides) under uncultured bacterium. RNAcentral describes it as "partial 16S ribosomal RNA". It matches the Rfam family "Bacterial small subunit ribosomal RNA", at positions 30 to 523 of the family's 1533-position model. The record is from RNAcentral.